RNAcentral lists this transfer RNA (68 nucleotides) under Trichomycterus nigricans. RNAcentral's name for it is "tRNA-Ser". The record is from RNAcentral. Lineage: Eukaryota; Metazoa; Chordata; Actinopteri; Siluriformes; Trichomycteridae.
GAGAGAGGUCAGAAACAAUGAGGACUGCUAAUCCCCAUCCCCGCGGUUAAACUCCGCGGCUCACUCAU